GACGAACGCUGGCGGCGUGCUUAACACAUGCAAGUCGAACGGAAAGGCCCUGCUUUUGUGGGGUGCUCGAGUGGCGAACGGGUGAGUAACACGUGAGUAACCUGCCCUGGACUUUGGGAUAACUUCAGGAAACUGGGGCUAAUACCGGAUAGGAGCUCGUCCUGCAUGGUGGGGGGUGGAGAGUUUUGGCGGUGGGGGAUGGACGCGCGCCUUCUCAGCUUGUGGGUGGGGUUGUGGCUUACCAAGGUCUUGACGGGUAGCGGGUGUGAGAGGGUGAGGGGACACAUUGGGACUGAGACACCGCCCAGACUCAUGCGGGGGGGCGGAGUGGGGAAUAGUGCACUAUGGGCGGGAGCCUUGUGCCGACACGGCGCGGGCGAGAUGGCGGCCCUCGUGGUGUACACCGCUUUCGCCGGUGGCAGAGCGUGAGUGACGGUAAUGGGUGAAGAAGCACCGGCUAACUACGUG
Molecule: ribosomal RNA, 468 nt
Filed under: uncultured bacterium
Lineage: Bacteria
Description: partial 16S ribosomal RNA
Rfam family: Bacterial small subunit ribosomal RNA
Source: RNAcentral